GCUGGGUGUGGUGGUGCACGCCUGUAAUCCUAGCUACUCUGGAGGCUGAGGUGCAAGAAUUGCUUGAACCCAGGAGACGGGAGUUGCAGUGAGCUGAAAUCGUGCCACUGCACUCCAGCCUGGGCAACAGAGUGAGACUUUGUCUCAA
RNAcentral lists this non-coding RNA (148 nucleotides) under Gorilla gorilla gorilla (western lowland gorilla). Lineage: Eukaryota; Metazoa; Chordata; Mammalia; Primates; Hominidae. The record is from Rfam by way of RNAcentral.